GAUGAACGCUGGCGGCGUGCUUUAUGCAUGCAAGUCGAACGAGAAGGGGAGGGCUUCGGCCCGACCUGGAGAGUGGCGAACGGGUGAGUAACACGUGAGUGACCUGCCCCGAGGUGGGGGACAACCGUGGGAAACCACGGCUAAUACCCCGUAGUCCUGUGCGCACUGGUCGCGUACAGGUAUAGCUCCGGCGCCUCGGGAGGGGCUCGCGGUCGAUUAGCUAGUUGGUGGGGUAACGGCCUACCAAGGCGACGAUCGAUAGCUGGUCUGAGAGGACGAUCAGCCACACUGGGACUGAGAUACGGCCCAGACUCCUACGGGGGGCAGCAGCAAGGAAUAUUGGACAAUGGGCGCAAGCCUGAUCCAGCAACGCCGCGUGGAGGAAGAAGGCCUUCGGGUUGUAAACUCCUUUUGUGAGGGAUGAGACAAGGACAGUACCUCACGAAUAAGUCACGGCUAACUAGGUGCCAGCAGCCGCGGUAACACCUAGGUGACAAGCGUUAUCCGGAUUUACUGGGCGUA
This 522-nucleotide ribosomal RNA is filed under the name uncultured bacterium. Its description in RNAcentral is "bacterial SSU rRNA". It matches the Rfam family "Bacterial small subunit ribosomal RNA", at positions 28 to 562 of the family's 1533-position model. The record is from RNAcentral.